UCAAAAAAAUGGCAGAACACACUUCCACGUACUCCAACACUCCCUGGGGCACCACAGCAGCCUGCGGGACUGUCGGGGAGCCCACGUGGAUAUGUUUGCCUUUAUCCACAUCCAGCCCACAUCUGUAGCCAUUCUGUCUCUAUUCACCAUCUGCAUUUCUGGUCCCAUUGUAACUCUAUCCAUUCAGCAUGUGCACACUUCAAUGCCCAUCCAUACCCGGCAUCUGUUUAUAGUUGUGUACCAGAGCUGAAUGGCAGCCACACUGAUUUCACCAUCAGCGAAACUUCCAAUAUUAGACCCCCUCUCCCUUCUGGACUCGAGGCCCGGACAUUUUCAGGGGCUGCCCUCUUGUCGUCUCACACCACAUGGCAAAGCGUUCAUCAAAGCACCCUACGGCAUCAGCUAACCCAAGGGUCUUCAAGCCUCCAAGGAGCCACAUCUGCGAUCGGUAACAGCUUCUGAGGUUAUCAAUGCCCAUCUGUGUCGGGCAAUCAAAUACCCUCAACUGAGGAACUUAAGGUUAUUUAAGAGUCGGCUUGCCCAAGGAUCCGUGAAAGGAGCUAAAAUGACUGGGAAAGAAAUCUCCCUGCAUGUCUAAUUUCAAAGCCUUGCAAGUCUUGCAUACAUCUCUGAGUAAAUUGAAAAAUUAAAAGUCUGCCUUUUAAAUACAUUUUUUAAAAAGUUUAAAUAAAUUUGCUCGCUGCUUAGGAUCUUCA
Molecule: long non-coding RNA, 716 nt
Filed under: Felis catus (domestic cat)
Lineage: Eukaryota; Metazoa; Chordata; Mammalia; Carnivora; Felidae
Description: lncRNA (ENSFCAG00000052511.1)
Source: RNAcentral